This is a non-coding RNA of Oleiphilus sp. HI0009, 337 nucleotides long. Lineage: Bacteria; Pseudomonadati; Pseudomonadota; Gammaproteobacteria; Oceanospirillales; Oleiphilaceae. The record is from Rfam.
CGAGCUUGCUGGACAAUCGCUUCUUUCGAGAAGAGGAAAGUCCGGGCUCCAUAGAGCAGAGUGCCAGGUAAUCCCUGGGGGGCGCGAGCCUACGGAAAGUGCAGCAGAAAGUAUACCGCCAGCAUUGUUGGUAAGGGUGAAAAGGUGCGGUAAGAGCGCACCGCGCGACUGGUAACAGUUCGUGGCGAUGGUAAACCCCACUCGGAGCAAGACCAAAUAGAAACCCUAAGGUGUGGCUCGCGCUGGGUUUGGGUAGGUUGCUUGAGCCUGAUGGUGACGUCAGGCCUAGAUGAAUGAUUGUCCUCGACAGAACCCGGCUUAUAGGCAAGCUCGGCAC